Molecule: ribosomal RNA, 151 nt
Filed under: uncultured Mycoplasma sp.
Lineage: Bacteria; Bacillati; Mycoplasmatota; Mollicutes; Mycoplasmatales; Mycoplasmataceae
Description: partial 16S ribosomal RNA
Rfam family: Bacterial small subunit ribosomal RNA
Source: RNAcentral
UUAUAUUCCUACGGGAAGCAGCAGUGAGAGAAUUUUUCACAAUGGACGAAAGUCUGAUGGAGCAAUACCACGUGAACGAUGAAGGUCUUCUGAUUGUAAAGUUCUUUUAUCUUAGGAAAAAAAGCGCGCUAGGAAAUGAGCGCGCCUUGAU